GUACCGCUAGCUCAGCUGGAUAGAGCGUCUGGCUACGGACCAGAAGGUCGAGGGUUCGAAUCCUUUGCGGUACGCCA
RNAcentral lists this transfer RNA (77 nucleotides) under Peptoniphilaceae bacterium. RNAcentral's name for it is "tRNA-Arg". It matches the Rfam family "tRNA". From Rfam's summary of the family: Transfer RNA (tRNA) molecules are approximately 80 nucleotides in length. Lineage: Bacteria; Bacillati; Bacillota; Tissierellia; Tissierellales; Peptoniphilaceae. RNAcentral also lists the same sequence under 3 other names. The record is from RNAcentral.